This 917-nucleotide ribosomal RNA is filed under the name uncultured bacterium. RNAcentral describes it as "bacterial SSU rRNA". It matches the Rfam family "Bacterial small subunit ribosomal RNA", at positions 33 to 942 of the family's 1533-position model. The record is from RNAcentral.
ACGCUGGCGGCAGGCUAACACAUGCAAGUCGAACGGUAACAGGAAUUAGCUUGCUAAUUUGCUGACGAGUGGCGGACGGGCGAGUAAUGCUUGGGAAUCUGGCUUAUGGAGGGGGAUAACUACGGGAAACUGUAGCUAAUACCGCGUAAAAUCUUCGGAUUAAAGGGUGGGACUUUCGAGCCACCUGCCAUAAGAUGAGCCCAAGUGGGAUUAGGUAGUUGGUUAGGUAAAGGCUGACCAAGCCGACGAUCUCUAGCUGGUCUGAGAGGAUGACCAGCCACACUGGAACUGAGACACGGUCCAGACUCCUACGGGAGGCAGCAGUGGGGAAUAUUGCACAAUGGGGGGAACCCUGAUGCAGCCAUGCCGCGUGAAUGAAGAAGGCCUUCGGGUUGUAAAGUUCUUUCGGUGACGAGGAAGGUUGAUAGGUUAAUAGCCUAUCAAAUUGACGUUAAUCACAGAAGAAGCACCGGCUAACUCCGUGCCAGCAGCCGCGGUAAUACGGGGGGUGCGAGCGUUAAUCGGAAUAACUGGGCGUAAAGGGCACGCAGGCGGUGACUUAAGUGAGAUGUGAAAGCCCCGAGCUUAACUUGGGAAUUGCAUUUCAUACUGGGUCGCUAGAGUACUUUAGGGAGGGGUAGAAUUCCACGUGUAGCGGUGAAAUGCGUAGAGAUGUGGAGGAAUACCGAAGGCGAAGGCAGCCCCUUGGGAAUGUACUGACGCUCAUGUGCGAAAGCGUGGGGAGCAAACAGGAUUAGAUACCCUGGUAGUCCACGCUGUAAACGAUGUCGAUUUGGGGAUUGGGCUUUGAGCUUGGUGCCCGUAGCUAACGUGAUAAAUCGACCGCCUGGGGAGUACGGCCGCAAGGUUAAAACUCAAAUGAAUUGACGGGGGCCCGCACAAGCGGUGGAGCAUGU